This 484-nucleotide ribosomal RNA is filed under the name uncultured bacterium. RNAcentral's name for it is "partial 16S ribosomal RNA". It matches the Rfam family "Bacterial small subunit ribosomal RNA", at positions 30 to 507 of the family's 1533-position model. The record is from RNAcentral.
AUUGAACGCUGGCGGCAGGCCUAACACAUGCAAGUCGAGCGGAUGAAGGGAGCUUGCUCCUGGAUUCAGCGGCGGACGGGUGAGUAAUGCCUAGGAAUCUGCCUGGUAGUGGGGGAUAACGUCCGGAAACGGGCGCUAAUACCGCAUACGUCCUGAGGGUGAAAGUGGGGGAUCUUCGGACCUCACGCUAUCUUAUGAGCCUAGGUCGGAUUAGCUAGUUGGUGGGGUAAAGGCCUACCAAGGCGACGAUCCGUAACUGGUGUGAGAGGAUGAUCAGUCACACGGGAACUGAGACACGGACAAGAGUACUACGGGAGGCAGCAGUGGGGAAUAUUGGACAAUGGGCGAAAGCCUGAUCCAGCCAUGCCGCGUGUGUGAAGAAGGUCUUCGGAUUGUAAAGCACUUUAAGUUGGGAGGAAGGGAAGUAAGUUAAUACCUUGCUGUUUUGACGUUACCAACAGAAUAAGCACCGGCUAACUUCGUG